RNAcentral lists this long non-coding RNA (376 nucleotides) under Eucalyptus grandis. Its description in RNAcentral is "long non-coding RNA (EGRA_LNC000709)". Lineage: Eukaryota; Viridiplantae; Streptophyta; Magnoliopsida; Myrtales; Myrtaceae. The record is from RNAcentral.
CAGACGGAUCAUUUCUAGGUCCUUCAUCCAACACCAAGCAAUUCCUUAGAUUUAGUGGCUUUACGGUCCCACCUGACCCUCUCAAGAACUAGUGGCUUUUCGGUCCCACCCGACCCUCUCGAGAACUAGUGGCUUUACGGUCCCACCCGACCCUCUCGAGAACUAGUGGCUUUUCGGUCCCACCCGACCCUCUCGAGAACUAAUGGCUUUACGGUCCCACCCGACCCUCUCGAGAACUAGUGGCUUUACGGUCCCACCCGACCCUCUCAAGAUGCCAUACUAUGUCACCGAGCCACGUGCAUUCUCCAGGAAGACAUACCGAGUCUCCGAGCCACGUGCAUUCUCUAAGGCUACCUUUUCGCCAAGAUGACAUAUC